GGGGAUUUAGCUCAGCGGCAUAAGCGCCUGCCUUGCAAGCAGGCAGUCGUGAGUUCAAUCCCUG
Transfer RNA from Cavia porcellus (domestic guinea pig), 64 nucleotides. It matches the Rfam family "tRNA". Rfam says of the family: Transfer RNA (tRNA) molecules are approximately 80 nucleotides in length. Their secondary structure includes four short double-helical elements and three loops (D, anti-codon, and T loops). NCBI's taxonomy places the organism in Eukaryota, Metazoa, Chordata, Mammalia, Rodentia, Caviidae. The record is from Rfam.